GCUGGGGCCCUGCGCACGGUGCCUUGGGCUGCGCCCCGCCACCCCCCGGGUGUCGCGUCUGGCUCCCGCCGGCCAGCGCGCGGGAUGAGGAGCCCGUGCGAGGCGUUCCCCGGGGACUGAGCCUCCCGCCGCACCAUGAAACUCUACUGCAAGGUGGUGGCCAUCCUGCUGUGCCUGGGGAGCCUGCUGCUGCUCUAUCUCUUCGUGGGCAACGCGGAUGAGCCGCCGCUGAAAGGGGCCGGAGACGCUCGCUGGCUGCCCGUUUCCUCCGGACCGGGGGGCCGCGCCCACCCGCUCUUUGCACAUUUCCAACCCGUCCGGCCAGCGCCGGAGGGGGCGGCGGUGGCGGCGGCCGCCGCUCAGAUUUCCAAGCGGGAGCCACGUCUCGGCAGAAACCCCGGCAAGCGAAGUCCUGCGAGAGGGAAGUUUGCAAACGUUCGACCUGGGGAACAGAAACACUUGAAGGAACUUCCAUCUCUGCAAUGGAUGCACCUGGCAGUUGUGGCAUGUGGCAACCGGCUGGAAGAGACUCUUAUCAUGCUGAAAUCAGCAGUUCUGUUUAGCUACAGGAAGCUGAAGUUUCACAUCUUUGCUGAGGAUUCCCUGAAGCCUGAAUUUGAGAAGAAGUUAAGGGAAUGGCCUUCCUCUUACACCAAGAAGUUUGACUACAACGUCUACCCAAUUGCUUUUUCAGUAGGAAAUGCUCAGGAGUGGAAAAAAUUAUUCAAACCUUGUGCUGCCCAGCGCCUCUUUCUUCCGAACGCCAACAGACCUGUGAAACUGGAAAGAAAUGUACAAGCGUGCACAGAAGAGGCCUUGUACAAGAAAGUUUCAAUGCGAAGUUCAUUGCUAAUAGUGCUGAGGCCGUGUGUUAUGUUCCUGCAACCCCAGAUAAUGAAGUGUUUCAUUUUGAGUGGCAGACGAAUGCUGGUGAUUUUAAAGGAUGUGGAUUCUCUUCUCUAUGUGGACACUGACGUUCUCUUCCUGAGGCCCAUUGACGACAUCUGGCACUUUCUGAAAGAGUUCAACUCCACACAGCUGGCUGCUAUGGCCCCAGAGCACGAAAUACCAAAGAUUGGUUGGUACAGUCGAUUUGCUCGUCACCCUUACUAUGGAACAACUGGAGUCAAUUCCGGAGUCAUGCUGAUGAAUUUAACCCGGAUAAGAAACACACAGUUCAAGAACAGCAUGAUACCAACAGGCUUGAUGUGGGAGGAAAUGUUGUACCCAUUAUACCAAAAGUACAAAAAUUACAUUACGUGGGGAGACCAGGACUUGCUAAAUAUUAUUUUUUACUUUAACCCAGAGUGUCUCUAUGUGUUUCCCUGUCAGUGGAAUUACCGGCCCGAUCACUGUAUGUAUGGGAGUAACUGUAAAGGCGCAGAAGAGGAAGGCAUAUCUGUUCUCCAUGGUAACAGAGGCGUCUACCAUGAUGACAAACAGCCUACUUUUAAGGCACUAUAUGAAGUGAUACGUGAUUUUCCCUUUGAAGACAAUCUCUUCCAGUCCUUGUACUACCCUCUUCAGUCUAAGUUUCUGGAUACUGUACACACUUUAUGUGGGCGAAUUCCACAAGUUUUUCUGAAGCAGAUUGAGAAAACGAUGAAGAAGGUUUAUGAAAAUCGUGUCAUUGUUCAUAUGGGAGCCAACUACAGAUACUAAACAUAGCUACACUUUAUAUGGUAAUUUUCAUCCUUGUAUCCAAAUCAUUUGAGGCAGAUAAAUUAAAUUGAGGCAGGAGCACUGUCAGUUUAAAAAUCAUGUUAUAAAAAAAAAUUGUCUAAAUUGGAACAUUUCACCAAGGAUCAUGGUGGAUUCUCUGUUACUGACCACUUUUUAAAUCAAGAUUGGGUAUUCUUCUGAAAGAUCUGCUCUAGGAAUUAUUUUGGAAAAGUUCUACGGCCUGUGUAAUACAGGAGGCCUGACAAGAUUAUCACUGUUGUCCCUUCUGGUCUUGGAAUUCAUGAAUUUCCCUGGUUUAUUAAUAGCUCCUUAAUUGAUUAAUAUGGAAUUUAAAAAAUCCAUUCUAACUGCCACUACUUAUGCUCUUCGUUCACUUCCUGCAUUUCUCCCCCUUGAACAAGGAGAAUCAAUGAUUUGACUGUCACUAGAAUGAGUUUCGUGUUUUUAGAUCUGUCAUGUUUAAGUUUAAACACUUUAGGGGAAUGUGUGUGUGUUUAAAACAACUAUUUUCAUUGGAGGUGUUUUUCAGUUGUAGAAACAUCUGUUUUUAUUAAAAAAAAAAUUUUUUUCAUCCCACAAGAUUUAUAUUUGGGUCUAGAUUUAAAUUGACAGCAUCACUGACUUAAAAAUAGAUGCUUAAGCCUUAGUUAAACAUGACUGUAUAAAAGGGAAACCAUCUGCUUAAAAAUCACUGAAAGGUGUGGGGUCUGUUUGUUUACUUUGUGCAUUUGACAGCACUUUGUGUCUAGUGAGUAUCAUUGUUCCCUAGCCUACUUUCCCUCUUUUGUUUGAGCCUUUCACACAAUAACAGGAGGGAGACCCAUUAAAGCCACUAAGAAGAACAUAUGCACAAAUAUUGGGAGAGGGGUGUAGAGAUAAGUACAAUACUUGAACUAGUGUUCACUUGCUGAAAGUACCUAGAUUUCAAGUGGCUGUUUUAAAUUCCCCUCUCUGUGGGAACAUGGCUUUAGUCUUUUUUUCUUCCCAUUUUAAAUAGAUUACAUUUCUUGCUAUUUUGUGGUUUUAAUUAUGUUAAAAACAGCAAGAACACUGUGAAUGAACCUCCUUUAAUUACUACUUACUGUUUAGGAAUAAUUCUAUACCACCGAGAACCUUUCUUCCAGCACAGCUUUACUGGGAGACUGAGAUUGCUGCCUCUGACUGCCUUUUCCAAUAUGCCAAAAAUCCAAUUGUUCUUGGAUAUAAAAAAAAAAAAAUCCACAUCUCUGCUUGGCACUCUGAUCCCUUGAAGUUCAGCACCUGUGCCAGGAGUUUAACUAAUAGCCUCAAAGUGAAAUGGGAUGCAAGAUGGCUCUGAUGUUUUGUUUUUUAUAUUUCAAAAUAAUGUUCAUGUUGUAAGUAGUUAGACUAAAGUUACAGACAGUGUUACGCAGCUCAUUAAAACUUGCAAUAGUUAAAAGAUGCUCAGCAGAAGCUGUAGGAAACCUGAAACUUUAAGGAUUCAUGGUGCAAUGACAUACCCAUAAAAGACACUUGGUAAGUGAAAAUCGUGAGGGAUGUAUACAACAGAGAGGUUAUAUUGUUCAGCAUGUGGAAAGCAACUGAAUAGACAGCCUUACCUUACCUUAUCUGUUCAACAGAAAAAUCAGCCAUCACUUGGAACUGUCUUUUAUGUCUACUACGCAAGGUGUCGAGGGGGAACUAUUCUGUAAUGGAAAAAAUUGCUAUAGACUGCAUUAUAUGGUAAUAUGCAUGUAAUGCCAAUAGUUUUACAGGCAUACAUACUUACCUUGCAUGGCUGGUGAGUGCUAGGGGCAUGUCACUUUAAUUAGAGUCUAGAAGUUCAAGACAGUCUGCAGUGUUGGCAUUGCUGCCCUCACCAUUCAUGAUUGAUACAGUUUCGCAAUGGAACACGUGCCAACCGAAAAUCCUCUUAGGUAGGUGGCCUACGUGUAUCCCUCUUCUCCAGUAACAGCAGGCUAGCUGUCUCUCUCGGCCUAAUCAGAACAGUUGACACUGAUGUGCCCAAAUGCAAUACCUGGCUUGUGAGGGAGAGGAAGACAUGAGGAUUCUCUGCAGCUUGAGGUCUUCAAA
This is an RNA transcript of Gopherus flavomarginatus (Mexican gopher tortoise), 3738 nucleotides long. It is a transcript of the gene named glucoside xylosyltransferase 2, with no coding region annotated. The transcript has 9 exons. The record is from RefSeq and is a predicted model, not a curated record. NCBI's taxonomy places the organism in Eukaryota, Metazoa, Chordata, Testudines, Testudinidae.